AUACGUAGGUGGCAAGCGUUGUCCGGAUUUACUGGGUGUAAAGGGCGUGUAGGCGGAGAUGCAAGUCAGGAGUGAAAUCUAGGGGCUCAACCCCUAAACUGCUUUUGAAACUGUAUCCCUUGAGUAUCGGAGAGGCAGGCGGAAUUCCUAGUGUAGCGGUGAAAUGCGUAGAUAUUAGGAGGAACACCAGUGGCGAAGGCGGCCUGCUGGACGACAACUGACGCUGAGGCGCGAAAGCGUGGGGAGCAAACAGGAGUAGAUACCCUGGUAGUCCACGCUGUAAACGAUGAAUACUAGGUGUGGGGGGACUGACACCCUCCGUGCCGCAGUUAACACAAUAAGUAUUCCACCUGGGGAGUACGGCCGCAAGGUUGAAACUUAAAGGAAUUGACGGGG
This 396-nucleotide ribosomal RNA is filed under the name uncultured bacterium. Its description in RNAcentral is "partial 16S ribosomal RNA". It matches the Rfam family "Bacterial small subunit ribosomal RNA", at positions 523 to 918 of the family's 1533-position model. The record is from RNAcentral.